GGCGGCGUGCCUAACACAUGCAAGUCGUACGAGAAAGCCGGCUUCGGCUGGUGAGUAAAGUGGCGCACGGGUGGGUAACGCGUGGAUAAUCUGCCCUUAAGUGUGGAAUAACGUACCGAAAGGUGCGCUAAUACCGCAUAAUGCCUGGCAACACAAGUUGUCCGGCCAAAGAAGGCCUCUGUUUACAAGCUUUCGCUUCAGGAUGAGUCCGCGUACCAUUAGCUUGUUGGUGGGGUAAUGGCCUACCAAGGCUGCGAUGGUUAGCUGGUCUGAGAGGAUGAUCAGCCACACUGGAACUGAGACACGGUCCAGACUCCUACGGGAGGCAGCAGUGAGGAAUAUUGCGCAAUGGGGGCAACCCUGACGCAGCAACGCCGCGUGAGUGAGGAAGGUUUUCGGACUGUAAAGCUCUGUCGAGCGGGAAGAAGUGUACCAUGGCUAAUAUCCAUGAUAUUUGACGGUACCGCUAGAGGAAGCACCGGCUAACUCCGUG
This 493-nucleotide ribosomal RNA is filed under the name uncultured bacterium. Its description in RNAcentral is "bacterial SSU rRNA". It matches the Rfam family "Bacterial small subunit ribosomal RNA", at positions 38 to 507 of the family's 1533-position model. The record is from RNAcentral.